RNAcentral lists this ribosomal RNA (440 nucleotides) under uncultured bacterium. Its description in RNAcentral is "partial 16S ribosomal RNA". It matches the Rfam family "Bacterial small subunit ribosomal RNA", at positions 338 to 795 of the family's 1533-position model. The record is from RNAcentral.
CCUACGGGGGGCAGCAGUGGGGAAUAUUGCACAAUGGGGGAAACCCUGAUGCAGCGACGCCGCGUGAGUGAAGAAGUAUCUCGGGACGUAAAGCUCUAUCAGCAGGGAAGAUAAUGACGGUACCUGACCAAGAAGCCCCGGCUAACUACGUGCCAGCAGCCGCGGUAAUACGGAGGGGGCAAGCGUUAUCCGGAUUUACUGGGUGUAAAGGGAGCGUAGACGGCAGCACAAGUCUGGAGUGAAAUCCCAGGGCUUAACCCCGGAACUGCUUUGGAAACUAUGAGGCUGGAGUGCAGGAGGGGUAAGCGGAAUUCCUGGUGUAGCGGUGAAAUGCGUAGAUAUUAGGAGGAACACCGGUAGCGAAGGCGGCAUACUGGACUGUAACUGACGUUGAGGCUCGAAAGCGUGGGGAGCAAACAGGAUUAGAUACCCGAGUAGUC